AGAAUCAACGCUGGCGGCGUGCCUAACACAUGCAAGUCGAACGAGAAAGUGGAGCAAUCCAUGAGUAAAGUGGCGACCGGGUGAGUAACACGUGACUAACCUACCUUCGAGUGGGGGAUAACCUCGGGAAACCGAGGCUAAUACCGCAUAACAUCGUGAGAUCAAAGCAGUAAUGCGCUGGAAGAGGGGGUCGCGGCCGAUUAGUUAGUUGGCGGGGUAAUGGCCCACCAAGACUGUGAUCGGUA
This 245-nucleotide ribosomal RNA is filed under the name uncultured bacterium. RNAcentral describes it as "partial small subunit ribosomal RNA". It matches the Rfam family "Bacterial small subunit ribosomal RNA", at positions 26 to 285 of the family's 1533-position model. The record is from RNAcentral.